UACGUAGGGUGCAAGCGUUGUCCGGAAUUAUUGGGCGUAAAGAGCUCGUAGGCGGUCUGUCGCGUCUGCUGUGAAAACUCAGGGCUUAACCCUGAGCUUGCAGUGGGUACGGGCAGACUAGAGUGCGGUAGGGGAGACUGGAAUUCCUGGUGUAGCGGUGAAAUGCGCAGAUAUCAGGAGGAACACCGAUGGCGAAGGCGGGUCUCUGGGCCGAUACUGACGCUGAGGAGCGAAAGCGUGGGGAGCGAACAGG
This 253-nucleotide ribosomal RNA is filed under the name uncultured bacterium. RNAcentral's name for it is "partial 16S ribosomal RNA". It matches the Rfam family "Bacterial small subunit ribosomal RNA", at positions 524 to 776 of the family's 1533-position model. The record is from RNAcentral.